Molecule: ribosomal RNA, 46 nt
Filed under: Elodea nuttallii
Lineage: Eukaryota; Viridiplantae; Streptophyta; Magnoliopsida; Alismatales; Hydrocharitaceae
Description: partial 26S ribosomal RNA
Source: RNAcentral
GGACCCUAGGUCAGGCAUGGUCACCCGCUGAGUUUAAGCAUAUAUA